This 467-nucleotide long non-coding RNA is filed under the name Athene cunicularia (burrowing owl). Its description in RNAcentral is "lncRNA (ENSACUG00000005675.1)". Lineage: Eukaryota; Metazoa; Chordata; Aves; Strigiformes; Strigidae. The record is from RNAcentral.
AGCCGAGUGCCUUGCUCUGUGUCAGGGCGCGUUGUUUGGAGGAUGCUUUCACCCCGGUGCAGCCUGACUCUUAUCCCUUUUGUCUGCAGGGCAAGGGCCGCCCAGCUGGCUGCACUGUCACCUUCCCAACGCCACCAGAUGUGCCUCCGAGCCGUGCUGUGCAGGGGACCGGCCCCAGGGGUCCUCCCCCGCCACCUCAGCUGCUGAUCCCCAGCCAUCUACCCCACGAAAUCCCUGAUCUGCGCCUGCUGUUCCUCCAACGACUUGUGCUGUGGACCGCUGGUUGCUGCCCUGUGCUCAGCAUGCCCUUUUCUGGUGCAACCAGACCCUCCAAGGAAUCGCUCUGGAGCUCGAGGCUGGCCUGCAGGGUAAGGUAAGGUGAGCUCAGACACUUUUCCAGUCCCAGGGGUCUUUGUGGAUGCACCGUGGUCUCCCUUAGGCUAUAAAAUGCCUGCAGGGAGGACAUG